CCGAGGACCAAGCAGGCAGCUUCUUCUACACUCAUGCCAACUCUCUUCCCACUUUUCUUAUUGUUUCAGAUUCCAUGUCAGUAGUGGCAAACCUUUACAGGAUUAUGAAUACAAAAUGCCACUGGUCUCCUGAAGAUACAGCAGCAAAAUGAAACAUCCACAAAUAUGACUUAAAUUGAGAAUAUGUGCAUGUCUAUAACUCCACCCUUCACUGUGCUGCGGUUGUUCUCUGGACCACUCCUAUUUCAUCAGUGUUAUUGUCAACCUGAAGAACAAGCAGAAAGAGGCUCUCUGAAAUGAAAUGGAUGCUUAUUUGGGAAGAGAGCAUUGCAACGGGAAUACACAUGCCAUCGUAAAUGACAAGAAUAUUCAGGGAGGGCUGUCUCUCCCGAUCUGAAACCCCAAUUAUACCUGUGAAGGCAUGGCAUUCUGGAACACCCCAUUUCAAAAGGAGAAAUUAUAUUUGUAAAAAUUUUCAGAACCCCUACAGACCAUAACAAAGAGUAAUGUCUUGAAAACAGGCUGAGUUUAGUUGAUUUGUAAUCAAAGUUUAACCUCUUUUAGGACCCCAUCACAUUUGGCUGCCAUAUCUCCUUGGACUCCUCUUGGCUGUGACAGGGUCUCAGACGGCCCUUGCCGUUGAUGACCUUGAUGGUUUGAAGAGCCCUAAUCAGGGUACACACGCUGCUGACAUGACUCUUCACUGACAGUGGUGGCUGUAGUCGGCUGGCUGAGGUCUCCCCACUGUGAAGUCCCCCUCUCCAUGCUGUACUCUCUGGAAGGACGUCGCCAUGCACAGCCGACACUUAGGGGUAUGGGUUGUGCUCCACUUCCGAGGAGGAGAAGUAGCUACAUGAGUGACUGGGAAAUGUCCUGGGGGGGAUACUCAUCCAUGCCUCCACAUUACUUAUGUACUCAAUCUUUUAUUUAUAUUGCUAUGGACUCAUGGAUACUCAGCCCAUGCUCGGGCUGGACUCCAGUGUGACUUUGCUUCUUUUCCUGCUCAGCUUCUUCGAGGUUGGCCUUGGUGAGCUCCCGUGGUGGGUUCCCAGCUCCUGUGUGCCUCUGACAGGUGCUCAUCACUUGGCUUUUUGGGCAUCUCCUUAAUUUCUGCUACUAAAGAUGCUCCUGGCUUAUCUUCUGCAUGUCCUGCCUUUGCCCUUGAAUCAGUCAAUUCUCCAAGAAGCUCUGGCUCCUUUCCUAGAACAGUGUUAGAAACCAAGAUCUGGGCACUGGUGUGUUCAUUGCUAGUGAGGUGUUGUUGCUUCUAGACUCUCUCAGCUGAUAGAGCAAGGGAAUGUUUAAGCCAUUUAGAACAUAAAUGCAUUCAUUUAAAAACAUGGACUAUGUAUUCACUGUGCCUUGGGCCCCAAGCUGGGUGUUGAGGAUCUUGAGAAAAUAAAUCAAGGAAGCCCAUGGUCUAGGGUAGUGCUGGUGAGGAGAUAACAGACUCUUGAGAUGGCACUAGGGCCAUGGCGGAGACAGACCUGGACACUAGUGGGACCCAGCAAAGACCCACAGCAGCCUGGGGAGGCGGCUUCCAGAGUGCUGCGACUUUGGAACAUGAAUACUCCUGAGGGUUCACAAACGAGCCUGG
RNAcentral lists this long non-coding RNA (1597 nucleotides) under Homo sapiens (human). RNAcentral's name for it is "non-protein coding lnc-CENPP-20:33". Lineage: Eukaryota; Metazoa; Chordata; Mammalia; Primates; Hominidae. The record is from RNAcentral.